GAUUGGGGGAAGGAAGAGAGCUUUCCAAAUAGGGGUCUUGCCUCCUCCUGGUGAUGAGCGAAAAACUGGGGAUCUGACAAAUGAAUAAAUCCAAGCCUCCUGCCGCACCAGCCCUCCCCAUCCCUACUACCUCACUUCGCCUCCUUACCGAACACACUGCUUUGUUUUCUGAAGAAAACGGUCCCAUGGAGUCCUGUGUUUACAAGACCAGAAAUGCCACUGUCGCGUCCCUCUAGUGAGAAAGGCUGAAAUGGAGGACUGUCGCCUUCCUUAUAAGCUUCUUGGAGACUGAACCAGCGCCAAUCUGAUAGAGAAGGCAGCCACGAACCAAGAGAGAAAAAGAGAGAGAGAGACCCUGAGGAGGGAAGAAAGCGCCAGUCUAUGAAAGGGCACCACAGGCAGAGAAAUACACGGAAAAGAGCCAGUGGCAGGUCCUUGAACCAAUGCGGCAGAGGGCACUUACCCAAAGAGGUUUAUGUAUUAUCGCCUUUUUAAAAUCUGAUUUGGGGCUCUAUGAAGAAAAGGGAGAAUUCAGGCCAUGGGAGCAGAAAGAGAAUUAAUUGUCGGCUCCUAGCUCUCAGCGUGAACGACAGAGAGGCUCAAGAGCCCGAGUGGGCGGCAGAGCGGCGCGGGUCAGGCGCCGUCCCACACAGGGCGGGUUGGGCCCGAACCCCCCUGGAACACCCGGCUCCCCUUAUCAUCUCCAUCUUUAUGACGAGCCUUGUUAACAAGACCAGCGAGCUGGCCACGCACAUCUAUCUCCACCGCGCGCGCUCAGCCGA
This is a long non-coding RNA of Jaculus jaculus (lesser Egyptian jerboa), 782 nucleotides long. RefSeq lists it as uncharacterized. The record is from RefSeq and is a predicted model, not a curated record. NCBI's taxonomy places the organism in Eukaryota, Metazoa, Chordata, Mammalia, Rodentia, Dipodidae. The transcript has 4 exons.